This 241-nucleotide long non-coding RNA is filed under the name Brassica napus (rape). RNAcentral describes it as "long non-coding RNA (BNAP_LNC010210)". Lineage: Eukaryota; Viridiplantae; Streptophyta; Magnoliopsida; Brassicales; Brassicaceae. The record is from RNAcentral.
CGUUCAGAUAUAGCUCAUUCAAAUACUUCGAUUCAGAUGUAGUUUAUAUGUUCACCUAACAACUUGGGUGUAUACCUGACAAACUAAACUGAACUCCUGAUAAAAAAAUCCGAACACCUAAUCAACAUAAUCUGUACACCUGGCAAAAUUAGCUGAACACUUGACUAACUAAGAUGAAUACCUCUGAAACUCACCUGAAAACUAUCAAACAGAUCUGUAUACCUGACUACUUAAGCAAAAG